AGUUUUGGUGCCUGUCCUGGAUCUCACUCUGUAGACCAGGCUGGCCUCAAACUCACAGAGAUCCGCCUGGCUGUGCCUCCCAAGUGCUGGGAUUAAAGGUGUGCGCCACCACUGCUCGGCUCCAAAUCUUCAAUACAUGUUUACUAAGGGAAUUCAGACACCAUUAAUCCUCGACUGUCCCUUGGACUACCUUCCUGGUUCCUUGUACAUCUUACUAAUUAAGGCCUACAGUAUGGGUACUGAAACUGGCCUUGAACUCUGUUGCUUAUACCUCCUAAGUAUUAAGAUGGUAGGCAUGUUUGCUAUCCUCACUUAGAUUCUGCAUGGGCUUGUAUACCAUAUUUAGAUGAGGGUACAAGCUGUGGAAGUUUCUACUCCAUGUGAAUCCCAAAGGUCCAACUCCAUGUUAGUGGGACUCCACUGAGUGGGAUAGCAUAGGUAAAUGAUCAGCUAAUGUUAUCAUUGCCCCUACCCCAUCAGAAUCUGGCCCCAUGAACCUUUGAAGUCGUCUUGUAAACUUGGAGCUUAUACCCACCUAUGGUAGUGAUUUAAGACUGUUCUCUUAGGUUUUUUUGAGACAGGGUUUCUCUGUAACCCCCAUGGCUGUCCAGGAACUCCACUUUGUAGACCAGACUGAUCUCAGACUCAAAAGACCUGCCUGCCUCUGCCUCUCAAGUGAUAUUAAAACCAUGCACUACCACUCCCAGUUUAGACUUUAUUUUUGACCCAGGCAGGAAUAGUUCUUGUAAGAGCCAAUUUUUGGUGCAUUGUGGAUGGGCAUAGUAGGACCUGGGUUUGUCCAAUACCAGCUGGUAAUGUAUCUGUGACUCCCCCGUUCCCCUUCCCCAAAGAAUAUUAGGCCUUAAACAUAACCUGGAAUAUGGCCAGUUAGUUUUCCUUCAUAUAUCUGAUGGGGGGGGGGGUGGUGUAACGUGCAACCCUUGAAGCUCAGCUGGAAUGGCACGGUGUGCUUAAAUAAAUGUAAAUAAAAUACCCAUACAUGGCCAGCCAUGGUGGCAGAGGCAGGCAGAUCUUGUAUGAGAUUGAGACCAGCCUGACCUACAAAGUGGAGUUCCAGGAUAGCCAAGGUUGUCUCAAAAGUCAGAAUUUAGUUCCCAGGCUCCAUUAUGAGUAGCUCAGUCACCUGUAACUAGUUCUAGGGGAUUUGAUGAUCUCUGGCCUCAAUGGGCACUAAACUCACAAAUACUUUUUUUUUUUUUUUUUUUAUUUUAGCUAGGGAUAGUGGUGCAUGCCUUUGAUCCCAAACUUGGGAUGCAUUGGCUGGUGUAUCUCAUGAGUUUGGGGCCAGCCUGGUCUACAGAGAGUUCUAGAAUAGCCAGGACUGUUAAAUAGUGAAACUGUUAUCUCAAGCAGAAAAAAACAGGUAUGGUGACACAUGCUGGUGAAUGAGUUCAAGGCCAGCCUGGUCUGCAUAGUUCCAGGUCAGCUGGGGCUGAAUAGAUCUGUCUCCAAAAAAAAGGUUUUUUUAAUGUAACUAUGUUAGUUUGUGCAGGUGUCUAUAGAUACCCAUGCCCCUCAUCACUGCUGUAAGCAUUGACUGCUUCAAGCUGCAGUCUAUAGGGAAUUGCCUCAGCAGAACAGUGGCUGCUGUGUCUGAGAAGUCAGCAAGCUCUGGGGGGCGGGGGUAUAUAUGCUCAUAAGUCCACUCCACCUCAACUUGGGACUAACUAAAAUUCAGUCUUUGACCCUUGUGAAGGCUAUUCUUGGUUACCAACUUGUAAUUACCUAAAACCCAAGUAGGUGUGUAUAGCUGUGAGAUUUUUUUUUUCUUAAAUCAUUUGAAGUGGGAAGACCCACUUCAUCUGGAUCUUUUGUGGUGGAAAAUCUACCUUUAAUGGCGGCCACAUCUACUGGCGGCCUUUAAGAAGGACAGAAGAAAGUAAGUUUGCUCUUUGCCUGCUUGCUCUCGCUGGCAAGUCCAUUCCUUCACUGACAUUAGAGCCUACUUCAGGAUUCUUGAAUAUGCUGAAGAGAGACAUUCAGUCUUGUGGACUGAACUACUACUGGAUUCUUGGACCAUCUGUUGGCAGAUAACCAUUGUUGGACUACCUGGACCACAGCCUGUAAACCACUCUAACAAGUGAAUAAGUCCCUUUAAGCCAGGGUGGGGGUGGAGGGUUCCAUGCCUUUAAUCCUAGCACUCUAGGAGGUAGGGGCAAGUGGAUCUCUGAAUCUGCUGUAGAACUAGAUUUAGGACAGCCAAGGCUACACAAAUCCUAUCUCGAAAACCACAUGAAUAAUCCCCUACACACACACACUCACACACACUCUCUCUCUCUCUCCUCUCAGCUCUUCCUCUAGAGAACCCUAAUAGCCCUUCUUCCUCAGCUCUGCUUGCAUCCUCUCCUUGACCUCAUUCUUCUUCCUUACAUCCCUUCUGAGAGCACUAUAUAUUGAAUCCCUGCUUGCAGGCUCUGUUUUCAGGGACUUGAUUGACAGCAGUUGGGUUUAGAAGUGGUCCAGUGAAGCAGUGGCAGGUGGACUGUUGAUAGUCCCUGGGGUGAGCAAUGGGGCAGUUGCCACACUACUCACAUUGUUCCCUGGGAGAAGGCACCAGUGUCCACUCAGUGUCUUCCCCAGAGCUAUGCCGCUUCUCUAUCAUGAAUCUCUAAGGUAGCUGACCCACACUGCUGCACUGCACUAAGGUGUCUGUCCCAUUGGUUGGAGCUGAUGAUCAGGUGAGAAGAUGGUCUAAAGGUGCUCUCGGGAGCCUCCAUGUUCUUGCUGGUCUAAUCAUCCAAGGCCUGCUGAAGUAAAAGGUAAAUUAUUGUACCUGGCAUCUCCUACCACUAGGAGGAAGUAAUACGGCGCUGUUUCUUGGACCUCAUUACUGUUUGGAGGCCGCAGAUUUGGCACUUGGGAAUGAAGAUCCAAUCCUACUCUGCACAGGAAGACUUUUGAACUAGGCAAGAAGUCCCUUACCACAUGCUGACCCUAAAUGCUGGGCUGGCUCUGACCCGAGAGACCAUACAUUUCUGCUCACUAUGGGGCUGCUAUAUGGCUCAGUGGGUAACAUGCUUGUUGUGCAGUCAUGAGGACCUGAGUUUGAAUCCCCAGAAUCCACAUAGAGCCAGGCUCGGUGGCACAAGUGUGUAACUCCAGCCCUGGGGAGUGGAGACAGGCAGACCAUGGGAGCUCACAGGCCAGACAAUCGAGCCAAAAUGGUGGAGUCCUGGUUCAGUGAGGGACCCUGCCUCAAAAACAUAAGGUGGAGAGCAAUACAGGAAGGCAUUGGACAUGAAUUUCUGCCUCCACAUGUGACACACAGGGGAGUCCACCCACACCCACACAAUCACCAGGUCCCUGGUGUCCUAUCACAGUUCACAAGAGGAACUGAGCCGUGGUCUGGAAACUGCACAUUUUCCAACAGACUCCAGAGAGUCAAAAUCAUUUGAGACGGAUUCUGCUGGAUUGUCAAAUAAAUGAGGAGUCAGUUCCUGGCCCUUCCUAUUCAUCAUCUUCCCUGAAUCACUGCUACAUAAGGAGCAGACAAGUCAAUAACAAAGAAACAAGUGACUGGAAAACUGGACAACCGGACAAAGGAUCUGCGUACACACAUUUCUCCAAGAAUACGAACUGCUGGGGCUGGAGAGGUCCUGAGUUCAAUUCCCAGCAACCACAUGGUGGCUCACAACCACUUGUAAUGAGACCUGGUGCCCUCUUCUGGCCUGCAAGCAUGAAUGUAGGCAGAACACUGUAUACAUAAUAAAUAAAGAAAUCUUUUAAAAAAAAAGAAUACGAGCUGCUAAUAAGUACAUGAGAAGGUGUCAGCACUGUUAGCCCACAGGAAAGCUCCGAUCAAAACCACCGUGUGAUACCACUUCACACCACUAGUGUGGUACUAAAAGAAAGCCACAUCAAAUCUCACAACCUGUGUGUUGCCUUAUAUGGCAAAAGGUGUCAGGAGCUUGAGGCUAGAAGCUUAUCCUGACUCAUUUGGCUGCUUUUCAGAUGUGAUUGCCUGUGUCCUCAUGAGAAAGCAGCACAUGCAUGUGGUUUGUUUGUUUCAACUUUGACAGGUUCUCGCUCUGUAGCCCAGGCUGACCUGCAACCCUCUUGCCUCUCUACCUUCCAAGUAAUAGGAUUACAAAUGUGCACCACUGUGCCAGGCAGCAUACUGAGUGUACGCACGCACGCACGCACGCACGCACGCACGCACGCACGCACGCACGCACGCACGCACGCACGCACUUGGGGGACGAGUAAAACAAAGGCAGAAGUCAGAGUGAUGCAGUCCCAAGCCAAGGAAUGCCACUUAUGACAGUGAUGAGGCAGACCAGGCAAUCGGGACCACCUUUCACAAACUCGGAUGGUGGGAAAGAAAGAGGGCGCUGCAGCUUUGGAAAACGGGCCUGACUGCAGAGAUACCAAGGGGGUGAGCAAUUCCCCUCCUCAGGAAUACACCCAGGAAAGAAGAAAGUCUGCUUCCAAGUAGCAACUUGUCCGUUAAUAUUACAGCAGCAUUAGUCACCUGCACCCCAAAUGUCCAGCUGCCGAGUGGAUAAAUAAAACCUGUUGCACACA
Peromyscus maniculatus bairdii (prairie deer mouse) is the source of this 4545-nucleotide non-coding RNA. Lineage: Eukaryota; Metazoa; Chordata; Mammalia; Rodentia; Cricetidae. The record is from RefSeq and is a predicted model, not a curated record.